GAUGAACGCUGGCGGCGUGCCUAAUACAUGCAAGUCGAGCGAACAGAUGAGGAGCUUGCUCCUCUGACGUUAGCGGCGGACGGGUGAGUAACACGUGGAUAACCUACCUAUAAGACUGGGAUAACUUCGGGAAACCGGAGCUAAUACCGGAUAAUAUAUUGAACCGCAUGUUUCAAUAGUGAAAGACGGUUUUGCUGUCACUUAUAGAUGGAUCCGCGCCGCAUUAGCUAGUUUGUAAGGUAACGGCUUACCAAGGCAACGAUGCGUAGCCGACCUGAGAGGGUGAUCGGCCACACUGGAACUGAGACACGGUCCAGACUCCUACGGGAGGCAGCAGUAGGGAAUCUUCCGCAAUGGACGAAAGCCUGACGGAGCAACGCCGCGUGAGUGAUGAAGGUCUUCGGAUCGUAAAACUCUGUUAUUAGGGAAGAACAAAUGUGUAAGUAACUAUGCACGUCUUGACGGUACCUAAUCAGAAAGCCACGGCUAACUACGUG
Molecule: ribosomal RNA, 497 nt
Filed under: uncultured bacterium
Lineage: Bacteria
Description: partial 16S ribosomal RNA
Rfam family: Bacterial small subunit ribosomal RNA
Source: RNAcentral